Molecule: long non-coding RNA, 671 nt
Filed under: Homo sapiens (human)
Lineage: Eukaryota; Metazoa; Chordata; Mammalia; Primates; Hominidae
Description: HSALNT0336169
Source: RNAcentral
UGGCGCUGUCUCUGCCAAGCCCUUCCCUUUCUGGCCCACGAGCCCUCUGUCUGGCCGCCAGCCUGGGCUUUCUCCAGCUGAUUUGUAGAUAAAAUCUCUGACAGUGGAUCUUUUACCCAAGAAUUGCUUAAGAUGUUCUUCAGAUCCUCAAUUUCAGCAGAAUGGCUGACACCAACUGGCAUGGGUGAGCCCAGAGAGAGGCUGGGAAUUAAAAAAAAGUUUACUUAGAGAACAAGCAGUUGCCAGUGAAACGUUGGUGCACUGUAGACUUCAGACAUAAAAACAGCAGCCAUCACUGACUUCUGGCAAAUUCAAGUAAAACAACAAACAUCGAAACUUCCAGACAUUCUGUUGGGGGAAGUUGCCAAAGACGUUGGCUGCCAUAGUCAGCUUUACCAUCUUCGAUAAGAAAAUACUCCUCUUCACCAUAUACAAGAAUUUAUUAAGUACCUGCUUUGCCUACACCAUUUUGCACUUAGUAUGUUUUCGUUACAUAUUUGAUAGGAAUGAGAGAAAGGGCACAGGUGGGCCCCUCAGAACAGAGCAUUUAAUUGAGUACAUUCGGAGCAUAUUUUGAGUAUGAACCUCCCUAACAACACACCUUUUAACAGUGAUUCAGGGGAAAGAUUCAGCUUUUGUGGGGUCUGAAGUUUGUACAGUUUCAAGAGCCC